RNAcentral lists this ribosomal RNA (253 nucleotides) under uncultured bacterium. RNAcentral's name for it is "partial 16S ribosomal RNA". It matches the Rfam family "Bacterial small subunit ribosomal RNA", at positions 524 to 776 of the family's 1533-position model. The record is from RNAcentral.
UACGUAGGGCGCAAGCGUUAUCCGGGAUUAUUGGGCGUAAAGAGCUCGUAGGCGGUUUGUCGCGUCUGCCGUGAAAGUCCGGGGCUCAACUCCGGAUCUGCGGUGGGUACGGGCAGACUAGAGUGAUGUAGGGGAGACUGGAAUUCCUGGUGUAGCGGUGAAAUGCGCAGAUAUCAGGAGGAACACCGAUGGCGAAGGCAGGUCUCUGGGCAUUAACUGACGCUGAGGAGCGAAAGCAUGGGGAGCGAACAGG